CCUACGGGCGGCAGCAGUCGAGAAUCAUUCACAAUGGGGGAAACCCUGAUGGUGCGACGCCGCGUGGGGGAAUGAAGGUCUUCGGAUUGUAAACCCCUGUCAUGUGGGAGCAAAUUAAAAAGAUAGUACCACAAGAGGAAGAGACGGCUAACUCUGUGCCAGCAGCUGCGGUAAUACAGAGGUCUCAAGCGUUGUUCGGAAGCACUGGGCGUAAAGCGUGCGUAGGCUGUUUCGUAAGUCGUGUGUGAAAGGCGGGGGCUCAACCCGCGGACGGCACAUGAUACUGCGAGACUAGAGUAAUGGAGGGGGAACCGGAAUUCGCGGUGUAGCGGUGAAAUGCGUAGAUAUCGAGAGGAACACUCGUGGCGAAGGCGGGUUCCUGGACAUUAACUGACGCUGAGGCACGAAGGCCAGGGGAGCGAAAGGGAUUAGAUACCCGAGUAGUC
This 446-nucleotide ribosomal RNA is filed under the name uncultured bacterium. RNAcentral describes it as "partial 16S ribosomal RNA". It matches the Rfam family "Bacterial small subunit ribosomal RNA", at positions 338 to 795 of the family's 1533-position model. The record is from RNAcentral.